AUUCCUCCGCGGAUCAGACCAUGCUCCUUCCACAUUGAAAGCCUGUGCUCACACUUUGAAUAUGUUGACUGAAAGACCUUCAUGAGCCGGACACGCUCCUUGGUGUUACACUUGCAGGAGUUGCCGAUGGAGGCCUGCAGUACUCUCGGAGUUGUUGGCAGCUUUAAAGGACUUGACCAAUUGGAUCUAACAGACAUCUACAGAAAAUUCCACCCAGCAAUUACAGAAUAUACAUUGUUCUCAACUGCAUGUGGAGCAUAUUCUAAGAUAAAAUAGUCAUAAAUCAAGCCUCAAUAAAUUCGAAAAAAUGAAAUCAUAUCAUACCAAGCACAAUCUUGAACCACAGUGCAAUAAGAAAAGAAAUCAAUGCCAGGCCAGGCAUGGUGGCUCAUGCCUGUAAUCCCAGUGCUUUGGGAGGCUGAGAUGGGUGGAUCACUAGGUCAAGAGAUCAAGACCAUCCUGGCCAACAUGGUGAAAUCCCAUCUCUACUAAAAAUACAAAAACUAGCUGGGCAUGGUGGCACAUGCCUAUAAUCCCAGCUAUUCAGGAAACUGAGGCCAGAGAAUCACUUGAACCUGGGAGGCGG
RNAcentral lists this long non-coding RNA (586 nucleotides) under Homo sapiens (human). RNAcentral describes it as "HSALNT0313264". Lineage: Eukaryota; Metazoa; Chordata; Mammalia; Primates; Hominidae. The record is from RNAcentral.